This 484-nucleotide ribosomal RNA is filed under the name uncultured bacterium. RNAcentral describes it as "partial 16S ribosomal RNA". It matches the Rfam family "Bacterial small subunit ribosomal RNA", at positions 30 to 507 of the family's 1533-position model. The record is from RNAcentral.
AUUGAACGCUGGCGGCAGGCCUAACACAUGCAAGUCGAGCGGAUGAAGGGAGCUUGCUCCUGGAUUCAGCGGCAGACGGGUGAGUAAUGCCUAGGAAUCUGCCUGGUAGUGGGGGAUAACGUCCGGAAACGGGCGCUAAUACCGCAUACGUCCUGAGGGAGAAAGUGGGGGAUCUUCGGACCUCACGCUAUCAGAUGAGCCUAGGUCGGAUUAGCUAGUUGGUGGGGUAAAGGCCUACCAAGGAGACGAUCCGUAACUGGUCUGAGAGGAUGAUCAGUCACACUGGAACUGAGACACGGUCCAGACUCCUACGGGAGGCAGCAGUGGGGAAUAUUGGACAAUGGGCGAAAGCCUGAUCCAGCCAUGCCGCGUGUGUGAAGAAGGUCUUCGGAUUGUAAAGCACUUUAAGUUGGGGGGAAGGGCAGUAAGUUAAUACCUUGCUGUUUUGACGUUACCAACAGAAUAAGCACCGGCUAACUUCGUG